AUUGGCUGGUUAAAUCCGGCUCCACAUACGGAUGUUCCCCGUUUGUCGAAGGGUCACAGCAGCUGACAGAAGCCACAACAAUAACAUUAGUAUUGCGUCAUAAUUAACAUUGUCGUGGCUGGACUGAAAUUCACUGGAGCGUCACAGUUUACCGCUGGAAUUCACUUCCACACCUCGAUGACACCAUCAGAGACCUUAUGCUCCACGUUCUCCUCCAUCUUCUGUUUGACGAUGCCCCACAGAUCCCCCUGUAGAAGGGUUGUCAAAUUUAUGGCCCAGAAACGCAAAUCUAAUCCAGCACAUGGGGGUACAGAGAGAACACGUUCACUAUUUUUCAACAAGUAACUGUUGUUGCUGAUUUUGUCACCUGGGGGGCGCACUGACAACCAUUUACCACUUAAAUGACAUUCUGAAAUUGGCUGACACCUGAUAUUGAUUGAUGCUCUUGCAAAAUUUCAGUCACCAGCUUCAGUUCAAGAGGUUGGUUUGGCAGAACCCUUUUAUGUUAAUGCCCUGCUACAAUUUGUAUGUAUUUUAUGUAUACAUUUACAAGACAGGCGGGGAAGUGCAAACUCUUUCUGAAUAGUUACCACUUGUAUGUAUUUUUAUGUAUACAUUUACAAGUCAGGCAGAUAACUGCAUGCUCUUUCUGAGGGGCAGUGAUCCGGUGCCCUUUUGGGACUGGUCAGGGCGCUUCGGUCGGGCUUGGGACCUCCCUGGGUCCUGGGUGGUCGGUGGCGUCCCCCUGUUUGGGUCCCCUGCUGGACGGGCUCACCCUUCCUCGAUAUGCUGGCUCAGCAACUCCGUACACCAGUCGACUAACAUGCAUGUGAUAUGGUGUUCAUUCACUUGUAAGUUCGAUAGAAACACUAUAAACUUGAAUUACUUGUGCUGGGAUCACUUAUAACAACACAGGUUAUAAUAACAUAUCAACUCACAGGUUCUUACAGGUGUUUAGACACUAAAAAAAGAAUCCCACCGCAGCACUCGACAGUAGCACUGCCUUGCUCAUUUUCCCACAUCCUGUCUAACCGUUUUCUGUUGUCUCUUAUCUGGUUCUCUUGGUAAGUUGUUGCAUGUCCUCACCUCGACCCAUCCGUGCUUGUAAACAACUGAGCCUUUUCAAAUUCAAAAUGAGAAUAUUUGGAAACAAUAAUGUUAAUCAGUUUGAACAUGUACUGUAUGCAAGUGAAUAUAGCCUCAAAAGGAAUUGUCAUUUAUCAAUGUAUUCUGUUUUUAUUUAGCGUUUCCACAACAUCCCAACUUCAUUGGAAUUGGGUUUUGUAAAAUGCACUUGAAAUAUUACAUAGUUUUCAAAAUUUUAGGAAAAUAAAAAUCCAGAAAAUGU
This is a long non-coding RNA of Phyllopteryx taeniolatus (common seadragon), 1348 nucleotides long. RefSeq lists it as uncharacterized. The transcript has 2 exons. The record is from RefSeq and is a predicted model, not a curated record. Lineage: Eukaryota; Metazoa; Chordata; Actinopteri; Syngnathiformes; Syngnathidae.